RNAcentral lists this small nuclear RNA (167 nucleotides) under Myotis brandtii (Brandt's bat). RNAcentral describes it as "U2 spliceosomal RNA". It matches the Rfam family "U2 spliceosomal RNA". Rfam says of the family: U2 is a small nuclear RNA (snRNA) component of the spliceosome (involved in pre-mRNA splicing). Complementary binding between U2 snRNA (in an area lying towards the 5' end but 3' to hairpin I) and the branchpoint sequence (BPS) of the intron results the bulging out of an unpaired adenosine, on the BPS, which initiates a nucleophilic attack at the intronic 5' splice site, thus starting the first of two transesterification reactions that mediate splicing. Lineage: Eukaryota; Metazoa; Chordata; Mammalia; Chiroptera; Vespertilionidae. The record is from Rfam by way of RNAcentral.
AUCACUUCUCAGCCUUUUGGUUAAGAUCAAAAGUGAAGCAACUGUUCUUAUCAGUUUAAUAUCUAAUACGUCCUCUAUCUGAGGACAAUAUAUUAAACUAGAGGUCUGAUGCACAAAAAUUCGUGCAAGAGUAGGCCUUCCUUACCCCAGCUGCUGGCACUGGCUUC